UACAGAGGGUGCUAGCGUUGUUCGGAAUCAUUGGGCGUAAAGGGCGCGUAGGCGGCCUGUUAAGUCGAACGUGAAAUCCCCGGGCUCAACCCGGGAACUGCGUCCGAUACUGGCAGGCUUGAAUUCGGGAGAGGGAUGCGGAAUUCCAGGUGUAGCGGUGAAAUGCGUAGAUAUCUGGAGGAACACCGGUGGCGAAGGCGGCUCUCUGGACCGAUACUGACGCUGAGGCGCGAAAGCGUGGGGAGCAAACAGG
RNAcentral lists this ribosomal RNA (253 nucleotides) under uncultured bacterium. RNAcentral describes it as "partial 16S ribosomal RNA". It matches the Rfam family "Bacterial small subunit ribosomal RNA", at positions 524 to 776 of the family's 1533-position model. The record is from RNAcentral.